CUGCCAUGGCCACAGGCACCCUGCAUCACCACCAGGAUGAUGUUCUCCUCAUCUUCCUCCUUGUCCUCAUCCUCGUCCUCCUCUUCCUCCACCACUUCGUGCCCUGAAUCCGGGGAGCAUUGCAGCCCAUCUCUUGUAGGGGCCCAUGAAAAUAAGACUUUCUCCUCCUGAGCUCGUGUUUUCUUUUGCUGUGUUUGUUUCUGUGGUCAGAAAAGCUCGUUUAUACAUUUCCCCUGAUUCAUAUUGCCAGACCACGGGCUGGAGGGGCCUGCAAGGAGCAGAGCACCUGGAGCACAGCAGGGAAGUCGUCCUGCGGAGCCCAGCCCCUGCUGGAGCUCACUGGGGCUUCCUCGAGGGCAGCCGCUUGAAUAACCCCCCCUGGAUGAGAUCUCGAAGUGUUUCCUUAGGAACCCGGGCCACAAAGCGAUGUGCAAUGAACGGAGCCGGCUGGAAACAGAAAUCACUGCAAAUCAGAAUUUCUGGAACGAUUUCCUGUGCCUCCCCUGAGAGCUCACCUGAUGGGAGCAGCCUGUUCAAACAACCCCGUCGUCAUUUUUGAAGAAAGUGCGGAUUUAACACGAUUCACUUCAGUAAAAAACUUGACUUAGUGCCGUGGGACUUUUUGACUUGAAAACUUAGCAGCGUACAGUGCUAAUAGAGAGCUACUAAUGGACUCCAAAAGCUAACUGAUGAAUUCAAAUGCAUUUGUCAACAGUUUUUUUUCUUUUUUCUUUUUCUUUAUUCUUUUUCUGAAAGCCUUCCUGAAAGACCUCAGCAGUGCUGGUGGCGUUUAGCAGCUCCCUUGGUGGUCUCAGAACCUGCACAAAGCCACAGACGCUGAAGAUUCGUAGGAGACACAGUUAAAAUCACAGACUGGGGGGCACAGAUGGGCGAGGAAUCCCCAGGCACGUGUGCGAGGUGGUGGUGUAGGGACCCCCCCGGGUGUGCGAGGUGGGGGUUUUGGUGACGUGGGGACAGGGCAGCAGCUGUGGGGCUGUGUUGCUGCAUCCAACAGGGGUGAGAGCAGCGCUGGGAAAUGGCACCAGAAUUGUGAAUUUUAAGCGGUUAUUAAAACACCUGUCAGGAUUCGGGAAAGAAACAUGAAAGUUUUCUGAGGUUUGGAGAAAAUGCCUUCCUUUGAUCCUUCUAAGUCUUACAACCUCGUCAGAGCCGGGAGCUGAGCGGUGAUUUGUGACAGCGCCCAAACACCCUGCUGGGGAGAAAACGUGGCUCAGGUCCAUGCGGCGUGGGGGA
This 1254-nucleotide long non-coding RNA is filed under the name Anas platyrhynchos platyrhynchos (common mallard). RNAcentral's name for it is "lncRNA (ENSAPLG00000025278.1)". Lineage: Eukaryota; Metazoa; Chordata; Aves; Anseriformes; Anatidae. The record is from RNAcentral.